AUUGAACGCUGGCGGCAUGCCUAACACAUGCAAGUCGAACGAGUGGCGGACGGGUGAGUAAUGUCUGGGCAACUGCCUGAUGGAGGGGGAUAACUACUGGAAACGGUAGCUAAUACCGCAUACCAUCGGCUUUGCCCAGAUGGGAUUAGCUAGUAGGUGGGGUAAAGGCUCACCUAGGCGACGCUCCCUAGCUGGUCUGAGAGGAUGACCGGCCACACUGGAACUGAGACACGGUCCAGACUCCUACGGGAGGCAGCAGUGGGGAAUAUUGCACAAUGGGCGCAAGUCUGAUGCAGCCAUGCCGCGUGGAUGAAGAAGGCCUUCGGGUUGUAAAGUACUUGCAGCGGGGAGGCGGUACCCGCAGAAGAAGCACCGGCUAACUCCGUGCCAGCAGCCGCGGUAAUAC
This 406-nucleotide ribosomal RNA is filed under the name uncultured bacterium. Its description in RNAcentral is "partial 16S ribosomal RNA". It matches the Rfam family "Bacterial small subunit ribosomal RNA", at positions 30 to 526 of the family's 1533-position model. The record is from RNAcentral.